AGUGUGGGUAGUCCAUAACGAGCGCACCCUAUUUCUAGUUUGCCAGCGGUUCGGCCGGGGCACUCUAGAGAAACUGCCAGCGUAAGCUGUGAGGAAGGUGGGGACGACGUCAAAUCAUCACGGCCCUUACGUCCUGGGCCACACACGUGCUACAAUGGUGGGGACAACAAGUUGCCAACCCGCGAGGGUGAGCUAAUCUUCAAACCCCAUCUCAGUUCGGAUCGGAGUCUGAAACUCGACUCUAUGAAGCUGGAAUCGCUAGUAAUCGCGCAUCAGCCAUGGCGCGGUGAAUACGUUCCCGGGCCUUGUACACACCGCCCGUCAAGCCAUGGAAGCUGGGAGUACCUGAAGUCGGUAACCAUAUAGGAGCUGCCUAGGGUAAAACUAGUAACUGGGGCUAAGUCGUAACAAGGUAGCCGUACCGGAAGGUGUGGCUGGAACACCUCCUUUCU
This 452-nucleotide ribosomal RNA is filed under the name uncultured Bacteroidota bacterium. Its description in RNAcentral is "bacterial SSU rRNA". It matches the Rfam family "Bacterial small subunit ribosomal RNA", at positions 1071 to 1533 of the family's 1533-position model. Lineage: Bacteria; Pseudomonadati; Bacteroidota. The record is from RNAcentral.